UAUGCACCUACACACAUGUGUAUAUACAUGCACAUAUGCAGAUAUGCACACGUAUAUGCACACAUGUGCACAUGCGUACACAUGCAAACAUGCAUGCACACAUGUACACACACCACACAGACAUGCACUCACACGUACAGACACACCCAAGCAUGCGCAUACACACGUGCACAUAUAUGCACACAUGCACAUAUGCACACAUGCAAAUGCAAACAUGCAUGCACACAUGUACACACACCACACAGACACAGACAUGCACUCACAUACACAUGCACACACACAAACAUGGACAUACACGUGCACACACACGCACACACACGCAGUCACACACGUACACAUGCAUGCAGGCACACAGACACGCACAUACACCACACUGCACAAACAUGCACACACAGACACAAACACAUGCGCACACACGUGCACAUGCACUCACACCACACACAGACAUGCACACACAGGCAUGCACACACACGUACACAGAGACACACAUUCACAAACACAUAAAUGCUUGUGUGUGGAGACAACUUUCUGCAUUCAUUGAGCGUGAGUUUUGUUCAUGAAAAUCCACUGGCCCCCUUUGCUCUUUGAAUGGGUCUUUUACCUAUGCAUGAUUUUGAGGAAUCACACGCUGGUCAUGUGGAGAAUUAUUCGGAAGCUGUCACACUCACAAUGCGAGAAACAAGUUUUCAAAAAUUCCUCUUGUCAUUUGAAAGCUCAACAUUGUAUCAUUGGUGCCAGAUACUCCCAGCUGUUUUCCUUACAGGGAUGGGCUUACUUGGUUGUUUUCAGGAAAACACCCAAGCCUGGGUAUGCAGGGCUGUUCGCUGUUUGUUCCAUGGAAACUGGUGUUGCAAGAAUAAAGGAGCUUGGUUCAGCUUGGCUGCCAGACGCCCACAUGGCACACACAAAGCACUGUGCGCAAACCUCCAGCUCCAUCACAAGGAACGUCACUGCCGAAUGCUGCUGGCGAUGGUGGCGAGAAGCCUCACGAGCUCAAAGCCACCUUGAUCUGGGCCCAGGCACCAGCAGGUGUCCCACCAUCAGCCCUCUGCCAUUGCCGCGAAUGUCAACACAGAGAAAAAGGCAAGGGGCCCGAGAUGACUGUGCUGGUCUUGGAGACCCCCCUGAAAACACCCAAAGGACCACACGUGAAGAACUGCUGUUCUGUGGAACAAAUGAUGCCAACGCUUCAACAAAUGCACAGCCCGAAGAGUCUGGGCAGAUAAACAAGGUGCCGGACACGGCCCUGCUGGGUCCUGUUUCAAACAGGCCAGACAUAAAUAGAUGUGUGGAGACCCCGGGAAAACUUCCAGGAGCACUUGGGGGCUGGAGGGAGGCACACGGGCCUGCGCCUGGGAGCCGUGCUCUGCCCACUCCACCCCAUGACCCUCGAAGGAAGCACCUCACGGGGCCCCCAGGGGUGCAGGGAGUCAGCCGCCCUGUUCCUGUGUGAGCGGGGCCUCUGGGGCACCGACCUGCACAGACCUGGUGGGGAGAGGCCACUCCAGCCUCUGGGCUGUCUUGGGUGAGGCCUGAAGUGGCUCUUCCCACAGUCUGAGCAAGGGCUCAGUCCCACCAGCAGCAACAUAGCCCAGGGCAUGGAAGCCCUUGAUGACGUACAUGGGGCUCGACUCCCACAAAGCCAACCCCAUUGUGGGGUCAGCACAGCUGCAGAGAGUACCCACGCCAGCCGCAGCCAUCCCCGAGGAGUGUGGUGCUGGGGACAGUAAGCCGGGUGUGUCAACCUGUGAGGGGCACCUGAGGCCAGCAUGAGGGCAGGCGAGGCGGCCGUGGCUCAUGGGUGCUAGGUCUGCAGGACUGUGCCCAGGUGUAGGCUCUGCCUCCCAGCCCCACGGCGAACACCCAUGGUGCCCCUGCCCUGUAGCAAGACCCUGACCCCCACACAUGUCCCCAGACACCUCCUGGGGCAACAGUGCUGCCAUGAGGACCUCUGAGAUGAAGGCACCGGCUCCACUGAGGCCUGUGUGGUUCCCGCCACCUGCCCCCACACCCUUCCUCCUCCACCCGCCCUGCGCUCUGGAGUGGCCCGGAGCCUGCCCCGUGGGCGCCCACAGAGUCAGGCACCAGCAGGAGAUGAAGGGGCGGAGGAAGGUGAGAGUGUCCUCAUCCCAGGCCUCCUCGUGAGGUCCCUGCGGCCUGGCUGAGCCCCUCCCAGGGACAGGCCCCUCCGUUGCUCCCCUGGAAGCUGCUUUCCUCGGACGUGGGAACAGCCCUGUCCCUGGGCCCUCAGGAAUGGGAUAGAACAGGGCCCAGGGUGGGAACCAACACCCUAAGUCUCUUCCCACAGAAGCCUAAGGACAGCAAUGGCUGAGGGAGGCGUCCUGAGGUGCUCCCGUGGCUGUGCUCCCAUGGCUGUGCUCCCCUCGCUGUGCAAGCAUCGCAGCGACUCACACGGCUGGAGGGCAGGGCCCACUGCCUGCCCAGGCUUCACGGUGUGGCCCUGGCUGCACACCUGUGCUGCAGGUGCCUGCGCCGAUCCCUGGAGGAGCUGUAGUAAGCAUUUGUGCAUGUAAACACAUCCAAGCUUGGAAAUGGCACAGUAAAAGCACAGCACCGCG
Molecule: long non-coding RNA, 2579 nt
Filed under: Homo sapiens (human)
Lineage: Eukaryota; Metazoa; Chordata; Mammalia; Primates; Hominidae
Description: long independently transcribed non-coding RNA 552 (LINC00552)
Source: RNAcentral